AACGAUAAAGCGGGUGAAAAGCCCGCUCGCCGGAAGACCAAGGGUUCCUGUCCAACGUUAAUCGGGGCAGGGUGAGUCGACCCCUAAGGCGAGGCCGAAAGGCGUAGUCGAUGGGAAACAGGUUAAUAUUCCUGUACUUGGUGUUACUGCGAAGGGGGGACGGAGAAGGCUAUGUUGGCCGGGCGACGGUUGUCCCGGUUUAAGCGUGUAGGCUGGUUUUCCAGGCAAAUCCGGAAAAUCAAGGCUGAGGCGUGAUGACGAGGCACUACGGUGCUGAAGCAACAAAUGCCCUGCUUCCAGGAAAAGCCUCUAAGCAUCAGGUAACAUCAAAUCGUACCCCAAACCGACACAGGUGGUCAGGUAGAGAAUACCAAGGCGCUUGAGAGAACUCGGGUGAAGGAACUAGGCAAAAUGGUGCCGUAACUUCGGGAGAAGGCACGCUGAUAUGUAGGUGAAGUCCCUUGCGGAUGGAGCUGAAAUCAGUCGAAGAUACCAGCUGGCUGCAACUGUUUAUUAAAAACACAGCACUGUGCAAACACGAAAGUGGACGUAUACGGUGUGACGCCUGCCCGGUGCCGGAAGGUUAAUUGAUGGGGUCAGCGCAAGCGAAGCUCUUGAUCGAAGCCCCGGUAAACGGCGGCCGUAACUAUAACGGUCCUAAGGUAGCGAAAUUCCUUGUCGGGUAAGUUCCGACCUGCACGAAUGGCGUAAUGAUGGCCAGGCUGUCUCCACCCGAGACUCAGUGAAAUUGAACUCGCUGUGAAGAUGCAGUGUACCCGCGGCAAGACGGAAAGACCCCGUGAACCUUUACUAUAGCUUGACACUGAACAUUGAGCCUUGAUGUGUAGGAUAGGUGGGAGGCUUUGAAGUGUGGACGCCAGUCUGCAUGGAGCCGGCCUUGAAAUACCACCCUUUAAUGUUUGAUGUUCUAACGUGGACCCGUGAUCCGGGUUGCGGACAGUGUCUGGUGGGUAGUUUGACUGGGGCGGUCUCCUCCUAAAGAGUAACGGAGGAGCACGAAGGUUGGCUAAUCCUGGUCGGACAUCAGGAGGUUAGUGCAAUGGCAUAAGCCAGCUUGACUGCGAGCGUGACGGCGCGAGCAGGUGCGAAAGCAGGUCAUAGUGAUCCGGUGGUUCUGAAUGGAAGGGCCAUCGCUCAACGGAUAAAAGGUACUCCGGGGAUAACAGGCUGAUACCGCCCAAGAGUUCAUAUCGACGGCGGUGUUUGGCACCUCGAUGUCGGCUCAUCACAUCCUGGGGCUGAAGUAGGUCCCAAGGGUAUGGCUGUUCGCCAUUUAAAGUGGUACGCGAGCUGGGUUUAGAACGUCGUGAGACAGUUCGGUCCCUAUCUGCCGUGGGCGCUGGAGAACUGAGGGGGGCUGCUCCUAGUACGAGAGGACCGGAGUGGACGCAUCACUGGUGUUCGGGUUGUCAUGCCAAUGGCACUGCCCGGUAGCUAAAUGCGGAAGAGAUAAGUGCUGAAAGCAUCUAAGCACGAAACUUGCCCCGAGAUGAGUUCUCCCUGACCCUUUAAGGGUCCUGAAGGAACGUUGAAGACGACGACGUUGAUAGGCCGGGUGUGUAAGCGCAGCGAUGCGUUGAGCUAACCGGUACUAAUGAACCGUGAGGCUUAACCUU
Molecule: ribosomal RNA, 1637 nt
Filed under: Shigella sonnei
Lineage: Bacteria; Pseudomonadati; Pseudomonadota; Gammaproteobacteria; Enterobacterales; Enterobacteriaceae
Description: bacterial LSU rRNA
Rfam family: Bacterial large subunit ribosomal RNA
Source: RNAcentral